CGACGGGUCGAGUAACACGUUGGAACCUGCCCCAAAGUGAGGAAUAAGCCACCGAAAGGUGGUCUAAUACUUCAUAAUAUCCAUCUCGUAUGGAUUAAAGCUUUAUGCGCUUUGGGAGGGGCCUGCGUAACAUUAGCUUGUGGUGAGGUAAAAGCUCACCAAGGCUUCGAUGUUUAACUGGUUUGAGAGGAUGACCAGUCACACUGGGACUGAGAUACGGCCCAGACUCCUACGGGAGGCAGCAGUAAGGAAUCUUCCACAAUGGGGCAACCCUGAUGGAGCAAUACCGCGUGCAGGAUGAAGCGUUUCGGCGUGUAAACUGCUUUUAUCACCGAAGAUUAUGACUGUAGGUGAAGAAUAAGGACCGGCUAACUACGUG
Molecule: ribosomal RNA, 379 nt
Filed under: uncultured bacterium
Lineage: Bacteria
Description: bacterial SSU rRNA
Rfam family: Bacterial small subunit ribosomal RNA
Source: RNAcentral